Molecule: microRNA, 23 nt
Filed under: Taeniopygia guttata (zebra finch)
Lineage: Eukaryota; Metazoa; Chordata; Aves; Passeriformes; Estrildidae
Description: Tgu-Mir-1720_3p (mature (guide))
Source: RNAcentral
GAAGCAACGCGAGGCCGGUCUGA